Molecule: ribosomal RNA, 253 nt
Filed under: uncultured bacterium
Lineage: Bacteria
Description: partial 16S ribosomal RNA
Rfam family: Bacterial small subunit ribosomal RNA
Source: RNAcentral
GACGUAGGGUGCAAGCGUUGUCCGGAUUUACUGGGCGUAAAGAGCGCGUAGGCGGUCUGUUAAGUGAGAUGUGAAAGCUCCGGGCUCAACUCGGGAAUGGCUUUUCAUACUGGCAGGCUGGAGUGAUGCAGAGGUUUGUGGAAUUCCUGGUGUAGCGGUGAAAUGCGUUGAUAUCAGGAGGAACACCCAUGGCGAAGGCAGCAAACUGGGCAUCAACUGACGCUGAGGCGCGAAAGCGUGGGGAGCAAACAGG